RNAcentral lists this small RNA (18 nucleotides) under Arabidopsis thaliana (thale cress). Its description in RNAcentral is "ATSL023420". The record is from RNAcentral. Lineage: Eukaryota; Viridiplantae; Streptophyta; Magnoliopsida; Brassicales; Brassicaceae.
UUUUUUUUCCUUUUUUUU